Molecule: long non-coding RNA, 426 nt
Filed under: Homo sapiens (human)
Lineage: Eukaryota; Metazoa; Chordata; Mammalia; Primates; Hominidae
Description: non-protein coding lnc-TLE4-8:1
Source: RNAcentral
UGUGUCUCUGCCCGGCUUUGGUAUCAGAAUGAUGCUGGCCUCAUAAAAUGAGUUAGGGAGGAUUCCCUCUUUUUCUAUUGAUUGGAAUAGUUUCAGAAGGAAUGGUACCAGUUCCUCCUUGUACCUCUGUUAGAAUUUACACACACACACACCCCAUAUGCUUUGUGACUGUUGCACAAUUUCUUUUCUGUUGCUCUUGCCAAAAAAAGAAUAAGAAUGCAUGUACAUGUAUAGGAGUCACCAAAAUAUAUGCGAGUCUCCACAUAAGGUCAUGCACAUUGACUACAAUGUGAGAAGUGACCUUGGAGUUAUUCAAGUUGGUGGGGAAGCUCCCUGACAAUGACAUUGUUAAAAUUUCCAACAACUUGCUACAGAUGCAGUCCCUGAGCAGCCAAAAUAGGUAAAAGGAAUACUAGGGAGGGUCCA